Lontra canadensis (Northern American river otter) is the source of this 106-nucleotide small nuclear RNA. The record is from RefSeq and is a predicted model, not a curated record. Lineage: Eukaryota; Metazoa; Chordata; Mammalia; Carnivora; Mustelidae.
GUGCUUGCUUCAGCAACACAUACACUAAAAUUGGAAUGAUACGAGAAAAUUAGCAUGGCCUGUAGGCAAGGAUGGCAUGCAAAUUCAGGAAGUGUUCCAUAUUUUU